This 82-nucleotide telomerase RNA is filed under the name Parastagonospora nodorum SN15. Its description in RNAcentral is "Phaeosphaeria nodorum SN15 Ascomycota telomerase RNA". It matches the Rfam family "Ascomycota telomerase RNA", at positions 1285 to 1381 of the family's 1858-position model. The record is from Rfam by way of RNAcentral. Lineage: Eukaryota; Fungi; Ascomycota; Dothideomycetes; Pleosporales; Phaeosphaeriaceae.
GCGGCUUUUGAGGAUGUACUUUGUCCGCAACAACAUGCCCUUUGGUGCCUCCAGCGCGCCAAAGAGGAAACAAAGACGAGUC